AAUAAGAUCAUUUUUCAGUUUUUUAAUAUGUUUUGACUCUUCGUCUUAUUUGAAAUUUUUUUUACGAUUAAUAUUUUUAUUCUUACUAAAUAUGAUAAAAUAUGAAUAGUACUUUAUGUAUGACUAAUUUUUUAAUAUUUCAUAUAAAAUUUUAAAUAAGACGAAUGAUCAAGCGUUUGACACGGAAAAAC
This 191-nucleotide microRNA precursor is filed under the name Oryza brachyantha (malo sina). Its description in RNAcentral is "MIR812 microRNA precursor family". It matches the Rfam family "MIR812 microRNA precursor family". Lineage: Eukaryota; Viridiplantae; Streptophyta; Magnoliopsida; Poales; Poaceae. The record is from Rfam by way of RNAcentral.